Long non-coding RNA from Cyprinus carpio carpio, 1620 nucleotides. NCBI's taxonomy places the organism in Eukaryota, Metazoa, Chordata, Actinopteri, Cypriniformes, Cyprinidae. The record is from Ensembl.
CCAUUUAUUUCUAUUAUCAUAUUUCUGUUUUGCUAGGCUUGGAUUGUCUUUGGAAAAGUGAUUAGAUGUAAUCAAGCAUCUAGACUCUUGUCUCUGAUUGAUCUUUGUUGUCUGGCUCCUGAUACAGUCAAAAACUCCCUAAAAGCCUAGAAGCCUCUGGAAUCUGUCCAAAAGAAGUUUUAGAGCCCAGUGUAUCUGGGAAAUAUACGCUCUGUCAUUUUCAUGAAAUAUUUACUGAUAUGCUCUCCUCUCUGAAUGAGCCCUGACAGAUAGAAACAGUACAGUAUCAUACCAUUUCCAUUUCUAGAUAUUUUUUUAAAAGAUUCUGGUGGUGACCCUCAUGAACCUGUGGUAACAGCUGAUCUUAGACCCCAUCACUGGUGUAUCUGAGACCUCCAGAGCACCCACUAUGUUGGAAGAUAACAUACGCAAUCAAAUCAGGUAGUUCAGAACAGUGGGUUUCCUAUAUAUAUGGUAAAAGCGGAAAAAAUAGUCAUUAUAUGUUUAUAUUGAUAUCUUAAGUUCACAUGUUCUUAUCCUUGACAGCCCUAAAAAACAGUUUGUAAAACCUUUUUCUUUCUUUCUUUUGCUUGUUUUAUGCAUAAAUGUAUCAGGGUAAAUAGAUAAUAUAUUUUUUUCUAAAGAAGUACACUUGUGAAGGUGCUCGUACCAAAACAUGUAUCAGUGUUGCAAAAGAUCAGUGUUUAGAUCCAAAAACACCUUUUCUUCUCUUGAAAGAAUGUCACUGCAUGACACCUUGUUCAGUGCCAGUGCUUCACACCCCGACUGCAUCUCUCACCCACACAAGAUUUCAUAAGCACAAAUGAGUAAUUUCUGGAGGCAGGAAAGAACAUGUCUCUCUCUUCAAAGGAUUAACUGUGUACAUAUGAAAAGCCAGCUCUAAUACAUGAAUGUUUUGAAUACUUAGUGCCAAACUGGAACAAAAUCGUCCUUGAGGUCAUAUGUUCUAAGCAUUUGUCUAGUAGACACAAGAUUGUCAAAAAUAGUUUAACUGGGAAGAGCUGUGCACCAUAUUGAGAUAUUGAUCUUUUUGGAGGGAAAUGUGUUUACAAGACCUUUUGCUGAAUAUGUCUGGCAUGAGGAUGGGGAGUGAAAUGUCUUUGAGUUCCAGCGAACUGGAAAAUAACUGACUCUCUGUUAAAACUGAAUGAUAAACUUGUCUAUUCAUGGUGAAGUCGUACACCAACUGUUCCUCCCACAUGCAGAGACAGUGAGAGAGUGUAAAAUACAGAGAAACAGGAAGCUUCGUUCAUACGGCUAGGAUAAAGUCUCAAGUUUCACACAGCUCUGGUGCUUAUGUGUGUGUGUGUGUGUGUGUGUGUGUGUGUGUGUGUGUGUGUGUGUGGGGGAAGGCCAAAUAAAGAACAGUUUAGCACUGCCUGAUGGGCCAUGAAUAUCAUAAAUUAUUGAUUCACAAAUAUCACAUUUUUGUGGAGUUGCACAACAUGAUAUUUUUCAAACUGAACUAACCCUGCCGUGUUAUAGCAAGGUCAUAUUAUCUGAUGAUUAUCUGAUGAUUUGAAGAGACAGUUAUUAUAUCAGGAUAGUUGUAUUACCCUGAUAGUGUUAUUUUCAAAUACAUUUAUACUAUUAUAUUUU